Molecule: ribosomal RNA, 492 nt
Filed under: uncultured bacterium
Lineage: Bacteria
Description: partial 16S ribosomal RNA
Rfam family: Bacterial small subunit ribosomal RNA
Source: RNAcentral
AGUGAACGCUGGCGGUAGGCCUAACACAUGCAAGUCGAACGGCAGCACAGUAAGAGCUUGCUCUUACGGGUGGCGAGUGGCGGACGGGUGAGGAAUACAUCGGAAUCUACUUUUUCGUGGGGGAUAACGUAGGGAAACUUACGCUAAUACCGCAUACGACCUACGGGUGAAAGCAGGGGAUCUUCGGACCUUGCGCGAUUGAAUGAGCCGAUGUCGGAUUAGCUAGUUGGCGGGGUAAAGGCCCACCAAGGCGACGAUCCGUAGCUGGUCUGAGAGGAUGAUCAGCCACACUGGAACUGAGACACGGUCCAGACUCCUACGGGAGGCAGCAGAGGGGAAUAUUGGACAAUGGGCGCAAGCCUGAUCCAGCCAUACCGCGUGGGUGAAGAAGGCCUUCGGGUUGUAAAGCCCUUUUGUUGGGAAAGAAAAGCAGCAGGUUAAUACCCCGCUGUUCUGACGUUACCCAAAGAAUAAGCACCGGCUAACUUCGUG